Small nucleolar RNA from Chelonoidis abingdonii (Abingdon island giant tortoise), 98 nucleotides. Its record names the gene SNORD14. It matches the Rfam family "Small nucleolar RNA SNORD14". From Rfam's summary of the family: U14 small nucleolar RNA (U14 snoRNA) is required for early cleavages of eukaryotic precursor rRNAs. In yeasts, this molecule possess a stem-loop region (known as the Y-domain) which is essential for function. NCBI's taxonomy places the organism in Eukaryota, Metazoa, Chordata, Testudines, Testudinidae. The record is from Ensembl.
UCGCAAUGAUGAAAAUGAUUCCAAUGCCAUUCGUAGUUUCCACCAGAAGUCGAGAGACAAGUGUUGGCUUAAAGUACCUUCCUUGGAUGUCUGAGCGA